GUUCGGAUUGGAGUCUGCAAUUCGACUCCAUGAAGGCGGAAUCGCUAGUAAUCGCGGAUCAGCAUGCCGCGGUGAAUACGUUCCCGGGCCUUGUACACACCGCCCGUCACACCACGAAAGCUGGUUGAACCAGAAGCCGGCGACCCAACCCGCAAGGGAGGGAGCCGUCCAAGGUCUGGCUAGUGAUUGGGGUGAAGUCGUAACAAGGUAGCCGUAGGGGAACCUGCGGCUG
Molecule: ribosomal RNA, 232 nt
Filed under: uncultured bacterium
Lineage: Bacteria
Description: partial 16S ribosomal RNA
Rfam family: Bacterial small subunit ribosomal RNA
Source: RNAcentral